UAGGGAAUCUUCGGCAAUGGGGGGAACCCUGACCGAGCAACGCCGCGUGAGUGAAGAAGGUUUUCGGAUCGUAAAGCUCUGUUGUUAAGGAAGAACGAGUGUGAGAAUGGAAAGUUCAUACUGUGACGGUACUUAACCAGAAAGGGACGGCUAACUACGUUCCAGCAGCCGCGGUAAUACGUAGGUCUCGUGCGUUGUCCGGAUUUAUUGGGCGUAAAGCGAGCGCAGGCGGUUAGAUAAGUCUGAAGUUAAAGGCAGUGGCUCAACCAUUGUAGGCUUUAGAAACUGUUUAACUUGAGUGCAGAAGGGGAGAGUGGAAUUCCAUGUGUAGCGGUGAAAUGCGUAGAUAUAUGGAGGAACACCGGUGGCGAAAGCGGCUCUCUGAUCUGUAACUGACGCUGAAGCUCGAAAGCGUGGGGAGCGAACAGG
This 429-nucleotide ribosomal RNA is filed under the name Bacteroidota bacterium. Its description in RNAcentral is "Bacteroidetes bacterium partial 16S ribosomal RNA". It matches the Rfam family "Bacterial small subunit ribosomal RNA", at positions 355 to 776 of the family's 1533-position model. The record is from RNAcentral. Lineage: Bacteria; Pseudomonadati; Bacteroidota.